AAAGGGCCCGCCGCUCGGGCGCAGGAGGCGGUGCCUCUGGAGCAAGCGUGGGGCGCGGGAACCCGAGCAGGACUCUCCAGUCCUCAGUCACCUUGGAGAAAGAAGUGUGGAUCCUCAGAUUCCAUCUUUUCCAACUCCAAGGAGGGGGCUCCCUGCCUGAGAGCCUGCGGCGGGUCCAGGAGCUGACAGGCCGCUCUGUGGAGUUUGAGGAGGUGGACAUUUUGGACCAGGGAGCCCUACAGCGUCUCUUCAAAAAGGUGGGUGCAGGCUGGGCGUGGUGGCUCACGCCUGUAAUCCCAGCACUUUGGAAGGCCGAGGUGAGAUCAUCACUUGAGUCCAGGUGUUCAAGACCAGCCUGCUCAACACGGUGAAACCCCAUCUCUACAGAAGAAUACAAAAAUUAGCUGGGCAUGGUAGCCCAUACCUGUGGUCCCAGCUACUUGGGAGGCUGGCAUGGGAGGAUGGCUUGAGCCUGGGAGGUGGAGAUUGCAGUGAGCUGAGAUGGCACCACUGCACUCCAGCUUGGACAACAGAGCGAGACUGUCAAAAAAAAAAAAAAAAAAAAGGUGGGUGCAGGCAGGCAGGCCAGGGGCAUUGCCAAGGACUAAGACCAGUAGAGCAACCUCUGGCCAUGUCGCCCCCGCAGCACAGCUUUAUGGCAGUCAUCCACUUUGCGGGGCUCAAGGCCGUGGGCGAGUCGGUGCAGAAGCCUCUGGAUUAUUACAGAGUUAACCUGACCGGGACCAUCCAGCUUCUGGAGAUCAUGAAGGCCCACGGGGUGAAGAACCUGGUGUUCAGCAGCUCAGCCACUGUGUACGGGAACCCCCAGUACCUGCCCCUGGACGAGGCCCACCCCACGGGUGGUUGUACCAACCCUUAUGGCAAGUCCAAGUUCUUCAUCGAGGAAAUGAUCCGGGACCUGUGCCAGGCAGACAAGACUUGGAACGCAGUGCUGCUGCGCUAUUUCAACCCCACAGGUGCCCAUGCCUCUGGCUGCAUCGGCGAGGAUCCCCAGGGCAUACCCAACAACCUCAUGCCUUAUGUCUCCCAGGUGGCGAUCGGGCGACGGGAGGCCCUGAAUGUCUUUGGCAAUGACUAUGACACAGAGGAUGGCACAGGUGUCCGGGAUUACAUCCAUGUCGUGGAUCUGGCCAAGGGCCAUAUUGCAGCCUUAAGGAAGCUGAAAGAACAGUGUGGCUGCCGGAUCUACAACCUGGGCACGGGCACAGGCUAUUCAGUGCUGCAGAUGGUCCAAGCUAUGGAGAAGGCCUCUGGGAAGAAGAUCCCGUACAAGGUGGUGGCACGGCGGGAAGGUGAUGUGGCAGCCUGUUACGCCAACCCCAGCCUGGCCCAUGAGGAGCUGGGGUGGACAGCAGCCUUAGGGCUGGACAGGAUGUGUGAGGAUCUCUGGCGCUGGCAGAAGCAGAAUCCUUCAGGCUUUGGCACGCAAGCCUGAGGACCCUCCCCUACCAAGGACCAGGAAAAACAGCAGCUGCCUGCUCUCCAGCCUCUGGCAGGAACCCAGGGCCCUGGAGCUGCUGGGGCCAAGCCAAGGCCUCCCCUACCUCAAACCCCAGCUGGGCCCACUCAGCCCACCAGGCAUGAGGCCAAGGGCUCCACUGACCAGCAGGCCGAGGUCUCUAACUCUUAUCUUCCACAGGGUCCAAGAGUUCAUCAGGACCACCAAGAGUGAGUGAGGGGGCAAGGCUCUGGAACAAAACCUCCUCCUCCCAGGCACUCAUUUAUACUGCUCUGAAAGAGCUUUCCAAAGUAUUUAAAAAUAAAAACAAGUUUUCUUACACUGGG
RNAcentral lists this small RNA (1806 nucleotides) under Pongo abelii (Sumatran orangutan). RNAcentral's name for it is "processed transcript". The record is from RNAcentral. Lineage: Eukaryota; Metazoa; Chordata; Mammalia; Primates; Hominidae.